AACGAACGCUGGCGGCAUGCCUAACACAUGCAAGUCGAACGGGAUCCUAGCUUGCUAGGUGAGAUUGGCGGACGGGUGAGUAACACGUGGGAAUCUGCCUUUUGGUUCGGGAUAACCGCGGGAAACUGCGGCUAAUACCGAAUGCCCUCGAGAGAGGAAAGAUUUAUCGCCAGAAGAGGAGCCCGCGUCCGAUUAGGUAGUUGGUGGGGUAAAGGCCUACCAAGCCGACGAUCGGUAGCUGGUCUGAGAGGAUGAUCAGCCACACUGGGACUGAGAUACGGCCCAGACUCCUACGGGAGGCAGCAGUGGGGAAUAUUGGACAAUGGGGGCAACCCUGAUCCAGCAAUGCCGCGUGAGUGAUGAAGGCCUUAGGUGUAAGCUCUUUGUCAGGGAGAUGAUGACGGUACCUGAAGAAUAAAGCAACCGGCGUAACUUCGUGCCAGCAGCCGCGGUAA
Molecule: ribosomal RNA, 455 nt
Filed under: uncultured bacterium
Lineage: Bacteria
Description: bacterial SSU rRNA
Rfam family: Bacterial small subunit ribosomal RNA
Source: RNAcentral